AUUCAUGUGAUUGACCUCUAUAACUUCAACAACAAAACACAUAAGCAUCAAACACUCAAGAAUCACAACAUCAACAACAACAACAUGAUAUCAAAACAUAUCAUGGAUGAGAAGUAUGAACACAACAAGUUCAUCACAAAUUCACACAAAUCCUAUUCCCCCAAACAUAGGUUAUUUUCCCCCAAAUGCUAAAUCUAUCUAAGAACACACCUCAUGAUUCAUAAAGAUGGUGAGAAGAAGAUGAUGAAGAAGAUGACAUGAUGAUGGUGGUUAAUGUUUCCAUGGCUUUCUCUUU
Molecule: long non-coding RNA, 295 nt
Filed under: Lathyrus oleraceus (garden pea)
Lineage: Eukaryota; Viridiplantae; Streptophyta; Magnoliopsida; Fabales; Fabaceae
Description: Pisum sativum (pea) long non-coding RNA (PSAT_LNC022102)
Source: RNAcentral